RNAcentral lists this ribosomal RNA (492 nucleotides) under uncultured bacterium. RNAcentral describes it as "partial 16S ribosomal RNA". It matches the Rfam family "Bacterial small subunit ribosomal RNA", at positions 29 to 507 of the family's 1533-position model. The record is from RNAcentral.
AGUGAACGCUGGCGGUAGGCCUAACACAUGCAAGUCGAACGGCAGCACAGUAAGAGCUUGCUCUUACGGGUGGCGAGUGGCGGACGGGUGAGGAAUACAUCGGAAUCUACUUUUUCGUGGGGGAUAACGUAGGGAAACUUACGCUAAUACCGCAUACGACCUACGGGUGAAAGCAGGGGAUCUUCGGACCUUGCGCGAUUGAAUGAGCCGAUGUCGGAUUAGCUAGUUGGCGGGGUAAAGGCCCACCAAGGCGACGAUCCGUAGCUGGUCUGAGAGGAUGAUCAGCCACACUGGAACUGAGACACGGUCCAGACUCCGACGGGAGGCAGCAGUGGGGAAUAUUGGACAAUGGGCGCAAGCCUGAUCCAGCCAUACCGCGUGGGUGAAGAAGGACUUCGGGUUGUAAAGCCCUUUUGUUGGGAAAGAAAAGCAGCAGGUUAAUACCCCGCUGUUCUGACGGUACCCAAAGAAUAAGCACCGGCUAACUUCGUG